GACGAACGCUGGCGGCGUGCUUAACACAUGCAAGUCGAACGGAAAGGCCCUGCUUUUGUUGGUUUCUCGAUUGGCGCACGGGUGAGUAACACGUGAGUAUCCUGCCCCUGUCUUUGGGAUAUCUUCACGAAACUGCGGCUCUUACCGCAUAGGAGCUCCUGCUGCAUGUUGGUCGUUGGAAAGUUUCGGCGGUUCGGGAUCGUCUCGCGGGUUAUCAGCUUGUUUGUGGGGUAGUGGCUUACCAAGGCUUUGACGGGUAGCCGGCCUGAGAGGGUGACCGGGCACAAGGGGACUGAGAUACGGACCAGACGGCUACGGGAGGCAGCAGGGGGGAAUAUUGCACAAUGGGCGGGAGCCUGAUGCAGAAACGCCGCGUGCGGGAUGACGGGCUUCGGGGUGUGAACCGAUGUCGCAGGUGACGAAGCGUGAGUGACGGUAAUGGGUAAAGAAGCACCGGCUAACUACGUG
Molecule: ribosomal RNA, 468 nt
Filed under: uncultured bacterium
Lineage: Bacteria
Description: partial 16S ribosomal RNA
Rfam family: Bacterial small subunit ribosomal RNA
Source: RNAcentral